UCGCGGCUUAUCACCGGCAGUCCCCUUAGAGUGCCCAACUGAAUGAUGGCAACUAAGGGCGAGGGUUGCGCUCGUUGCGGGACUUAACCCAACAUCUCACGACACGAGCUGACGACAGCCAUGCAGCACCUGUCACCGGUCCAGCCGAACUGAAAGCCCCUCUUUCAAGGGGCCGCGACCGGGAUGUCAAGGCCAGGUAAGGUUCUUCGCGUUGCAUCGAAUUAAUCCGCAUGCUCCGCCGCUUGUGCGGGCCCCGUCAAUUCCUUUGAGUUUUAGCCUUGCGGCCGUACUCCCCAGGCGGGGCACUUCAUGCGUUAGCGCCGGUACCCUGAGGGUCGCUCCCCAAAGCACCUAGUGCCCAUCGUUUACGGCGUGGACUAC
Molecule: unclassified non-coding RNA, 381 nt
Filed under: uncultured bacterium
Lineage: Bacteria
Description: contains 16S-23S intergenic spacer region
Source: RNAcentral